This 551-nucleotide ribosomal RNA is filed under the name uncultured bacterium. RNAcentral's name for it is "bacterial SSU rRNA". It matches the Rfam family "Bacterial small subunit ribosomal RNA", at positions 777 to 1327 of the family's 1533-position model. The record is from RNAcentral.
AAUAGAUACCCUGGUAGUCCACGCCGUAAACGAUGAGUGCUAAGUGUUAGGGGGUUUCCGCCCCUUAGUGCUGCAGCUAACGCAUUAAGCACUCCGCCUGGGGAGUACGGUCGCAAGACUGAAACUCAAAGGAAUUGACGGGGGCCCGCACAAGCGGUGGAGCAUGUGGUUUAAUUCGAAGCAACGCGAAGAACCUUACCAGGUCUUGACACCCCAUUGACCACUAUGGAGACAUAGUUUUCCCUUCGGGGACAACGGUGACAGGUGGUGCAUGGUUGUCGUCAGCUCGUGUCGUGAGAUGUUGGGUUAAGUCCCGCAACGAGCGCAACCCUUGUUCUUAGUUGCCAUCAUUUAGUUGGGCACUCUAAGGAGACUGCCGGUGACAAACCGGAGGAAGGUGGGGAUGACGUCAAAUCAUCAUGCCCCUUAUGACCUGGGCUACACACGUGCUACAAUGGACGGUACAAACGGUUGCCAACCCGCGAGGGGAGCUAAUCCGAUAAAACCGUUCUCAGUUCGGAUUGUAGGCUGCAACUCGCCUACAUGAAGCC